GGCGGGGAAACAGGACUUUUACUGUGAAAAAAUUAGAGUGCUCCAGGCAGGCCUAUGCUCGAAUACAUUAGCAUGGAAUAAUAGAAAUAGGACGUGUGGUUCUAUUUUGUUGGUUUCUAGGACCGCCGUAAUGAUUAAUAGGGACAGUCGGGGGCAUCAGUAUUCAAUUGUCAGAGGUGAAAUUCUUGGAUUUAUUGAAGACUAACUACUGCGAAAGCAUUUGCCAAGGAUGUUUUCAUUAAUCAGGAACGAAAGUUAGGGGAUCGAAGACGAUCAGAUACCGUCGUAGUCUUAACCAUAAACUAUGCCGACUAGGGAGUCGGACGGUGUUAUUUUUUGACCCGUUCGGCACCUUACGAGAAAUCAAAGUGCUUGGGCUCCAGGGGGAGUAUGGUCGCAAGGCUGAAACUUAAAGAAAUUGACGGAAGGGCACCACCAGGGGUGGAGCCUGCGGCUUAAUUUGACUCAACACGGGGAAACUCACCAGGUCCAGACACAAUGAGGAUUGACAGAUUGAGAGCUCUUUCUUGAU
This 532-nucleotide ribosomal RNA is filed under the name Fusarium fujikuroi. RNAcentral describes it as "SSU rRNA". It matches the Rfam family "Eukaryotic small subunit ribosomal RNA", at positions 734 to 1266 of the family's 1831-position model. Lineage: Eukaryota; Fungi; Ascomycota; Sordariomycetes; Hypocreales; Nectriaceae. The record is from RNAcentral.